GCCGACUUCGCAUAGUGGUCAAUUGCAGUCGCCUUGUAAGCGACCUUAUCGUCGGUUCGACUCCGACAGUCGGCUCCA
This 78-nucleotide transfer RNA is filed under the name Candidatus Thiodiazotropha endolucinida. RNAcentral describes it as "tRNA-Thr". It matches the Rfam family "tRNA". Rfam says of the family: Transfer RNA (tRNA) molecules are approximately 80 nucleotides in length. Their secondary structure includes four short double-helical elements and three loops (D, anti-codon, and T loops). Further hydrogen bonds mediate the characteristic L-shaped molecular structure. tRNAs have two regions of fundamental functional importance: the anti-codon, which is responsible for specific mRNA codon recognition, and the 3' end, to which the tRNAs corresponding amino acid is attached (by aminoacyl-tRNA synthetases). tRNAs cope with the degeneracy of the genetic code in two manners: having more than one tRNA (with a specific anti-codon) for a particular amino acid; and 'wobble' base-pairing, i.e. permitting non-standard base-pairing at the 3rd anti-codon position. Lineage: Bacteria; Pseudomonadati; Pseudomonadota; Gammaproteobacteria; Chromatiales; Sedimenticolaceae. The record is from RNAcentral. RNAcentral also lists the same sequence under 2 other names.